Molecule: long non-coding RNA, 4298 nt
Organism: Panthera uncia (snow leopard)
Lineage: Eukaryota; Metazoa; Chordata; Mammalia; Carnivora; Felidae
Exons: 4
Source: RefSeq, a predicted model, not a curated record
UAGCAUCUUUGAAGGUUCUCUUUGACUUUUCCUGUAUUCCUCUCAACCCUAGACUGCCUCUGCCCACCUGCUUUCUCUGCUUUUGUUUUCAAGCUCUUAAGCUUGCUUGUGGAAAUUAUGAAACAAAGAUGAUUGAGUCAGAUAAUGUUUUUGGCUUUAUCACCUCAGCCAGAUGUUCUCUGCUACUCCACUGUCCUUUUAUAUGUUUACUGUAGUACCUAAUCCCAUGUGAGUCUUUUUAAUUUCUUAGAAGUGGGAGAUACUCUUUUCAUAGUGAAUGGUGGUAAGGAUCUAUGCUUUCAGAUUAAAUUUGCUGGUAGGUUUCUAAAUCAUGGUGCUUUUAUUUCAUUACAAUUUUUCUUUAGAACAGUUACAAUAAAAAUAUAUUUGUCACAUUGCUGUGCUGCACAUUUUAUUAUGGUCUUUAGAUGCAGAUGGCUUUUACCUUCUUGUGGAUAUAAACCACAGUAACAAAGAUCUGGUGCUUAAUUGGUCUCAUUUCCUGUUAAGCAUUGUCACUUUAAAAAUUGCUACUUAGAAGAAUGAAAAGAGGACAUUAAGAUUUCUUUCCUAGUGGCAUUAAAGAGUAAGGAAGCACAAUUCAGUUAUAAUUUGUUCAGUUAUAUUGGGUAGCCAACAAGACUGAAUGAAUUAAAAAAUAAAAGAAAUGCUUGUUGGUUUAUGGUCAAAACAUCUCUAGGAAUUUUGUACUGUUGGUGCAGUAAAAAAGUAAUUGUUUUAUUAAAUUGCUUCAGUGUUCCCAGCAUUGCACCACUAACUGUGGUGGAGCCAGAGGAAGUACAGGAUAUUUUAUCUGACUUGAAAAACUUGUAUUAUAUAUUGGAGAAAAAAAUGGUAAUACACACGAAUGCUGUGAGAUAGAAUGUGAUAUAAAACACAACCUUUUUACAAAGGUUAAUGAUGUCCUGUUGCCCAAAAUAGAGUCCAUGCUCCAUGGAAUAGUGUGCUUGCUCAUUGACCUCUGGGUCCUAACCACCCUUUCCAGGAUCAUCUUUCUCCAUUGCAUGCCCCUGAAACAUGCCCUACACUCCAGUCACUUUGAUGUGCUUAUUAUUGCAGAAUGUAUUAUCUACCUCAAUACCUGCCUGCUUUGGUGAAUUUUUGAAACCAGCAAGUUUACCUUUUUGCCAUUGUGUUUUCCCAUUGCUACCACCACAGAGCUAAAGCCUAUUACUGGAAGGCUGCCUUGGGCAAAACCGUGAAAUAGAAGUACAACAGUGAACAAAACGGAUCCAAGUUCCUGCCCUGAUGACGCUUACAUUAUAGUCAAGGAAGACAGACAAAAUAGCACCCUGUUUUCUUGAUGAAGCACUCAGCUCUUCUGUAGGCCUAAUGCUUCCCAAGGAGCUGAGCCCAGUCCCAGCUUCAGCACCAGGUUUAAUGUGUCUCAGGUGAAUACCCAUCUCUUGUACCUCUAACAGUUUCACAUGAAGAGGGUCAGAUGAUGGCUAAAGCCCCCUGAUGUUAGGAAUAAUGUUGCUUUUGUUGUUUUUUGGAGGGGUCUUCUUUAUGCUUACAAAGAGAAAGCUUCCAGAACUGGUUCUCUUUCUCUUCUGCUGGGCUCCUGGCUGCAUUCUAAUACCAAAAGGAAGACUAGCUUUAGGACAAAGAUUCACUGUAGAUCAUAGAGCGGAGAAAAACAUUCCCAACCAGGAACAUUGUAACUCAUGUCUGUGUGUGUGUGUGUGUGUGUGUGUGUGUGUGUGUGUGUAAGACAGAGAGAGAAUGAGAGAGACCAAAAGAUAAUCGGUCAAUGGGGGAACAUCGUGGGUAAUAAGAACGUAUGUCUUCAUUUUUUUUCCCUUUGGAAAUUCACAAAGGGAAAAUUAAAAUGUGCCUUUUGGAUUUUUACUUUAAAUAUCUGUAUGAACUAAAUCAUCUGCAUGCAUUUAAUAAAAUGUGUUUUCUCCUGUUCCCCUUCCUCUCAAAGAUGUUGUUUUUCUCACUGAAAAAUUUCAAAAUGCUUAUGUGGUUGACUGGAUAUAAAAUCAUAAAGCCAAGCCUUCUGAAGUUGAAAGUCUUAUUGCCUUACAUGAUGUUCUUUUCAUGAUAUAGUUUUCUAAUAUUUGCCUUUUUUAGUGCCUCAUAGAGUAGAAUUGGACUUCUUAUCUUUUGCCCAAAAGAUAUUUGAAUCUGAGAAACUUUUUACUUGCAAAUUCCAAUUUAUUAGAAUAUCCCCCAAAUUAAAUUUGAAAGCAAUUCUAAAAUGUGGAAUACACUUUGAACCACUCCCUCUUUUCUGAGGGAAGACAGAAAAGGAGAUUUGGUUAGUCCUUCCUGUGAUUUCCCAUUCUUCUGCCUUGAUAGGCACCAUUUAAAACAAUGCACGUGAAAAGAGAAUACCUCAAAGAAUAUCUGCUUGGGACCUCAUGAAAGGAAUGUGAGAUGAAAAAAAUUGGCGAUGUGUGACUCCAUGCUCUAAUGACUGAAAAGAUAAUUACCGCGAGGUAUCCAGAGUAAUUUAGAGGGGAAUUGGAAUUUUAUAAGAGAAAGCGAAAAUGCAUUUGUGAAAAAGAGGGACGGUUGGGGGGAAAUGUUAUUUUAGCCACAUAUUCUGGCCCUACGUGACAUAAAAGAGUAUGAAUUUCAAGAGGACAAUAUAAAAGAAAUUAUAGUAAUCAAGAUAGGAAAUUAUUAAGGGAUAGGAGAAAAUUUCAGCUGAGAGGGAAUGUGAAGAUUAAGUAUAAAUUCUAACAGUCUGGUUGACAAGUUGAUGAGCACAUUUACAGAUGAGAAAUGUAGAAGGAACAAAAGGAUGACUUCAACCAUUUUGUGUAAGAGCCAAUGUUAGGUUUGUAUUAGAAAGAAUGAGAAUGGAAUUUCAGUAGAGAAGUUUCUGAAAAAAGGAGAACAGUAAUGUUUUGCCAAAGUUUUCUUGGGAGGUUUCCUUCAAGACUGACAUUCUUUUCUUUCAUAGGUGCCUAUUGGUGGGUGGUUUAAUGUUUUCUGUAUCUAAUUUUUCUUUUAUUGUUGAGGGAAAUAAGAGGGGAACUCAGAGAGGAGAGAUAUAUAUUGUUUUAGGAGGUAGACUAAAUGGAUGCUUUACUUAUUUUGCCUGUUGUAUAAAUUUGAUCCUGUGAUGUAAAAAUGUCUAUAUUCAUAAACUGGAAUAUCUUCAUAAUUCCUGUUUGGGAGAAACAACUUGGCUGGCAGUAUUAGCUGUACCAACGCUGGCAAAGCACUGGAUUUGGGAUCUGAGGAUUCAGAUUCAAGUCUGGGUCUUUUAUUUAGCAGCUUUUUGACUUGAGCAAGACACUUAAUUACCUUAGGGAGGAUAUGGUCAGAUGCAUGCAUGGGAGGCUCUCCUGGGAAUGGAGUGGCUCGUGUAGGUGAUCUGGAAAGUACCUACAAUGCUGAGGAAAUAGUACUUUUGUUUUCUUUAUUUAUUUUUGUCUUCAUUUUUUUUUUUUUUUUCUGAUACACUUAUAAUGUCUGUGUGGAGGCAACCAUAGCCACUUUGGGCCAGUGGUAAACAGUGAAGAGUGGUGGAGACUGCGACAAAUCUGUGUCUGUAUGCCAGGACUAGAAAGUAUAGUUUUUUACUCAGCUCAAAGUGGUUAUUGACAUGGGGGAUUGCAGGCCUCAUUUGCAAGAACUUCUAGUUUUUUGUUCUGUUUUAAUUUGUUUUUUAGGAGAAGACUGAAAUUUGGAUUUCUUAUUGAAGUUUCUAAUAUAUAUAUAGUUUCAUAUAUAUACAUAAAAGUCUGUUCAAAUAUAUAUAUAUGUGUGUGUGUGUAUACAUAUAUAUAUACAUAUAAAUAUAUAUACACACAUACAUACACACAUAAAGAGAAUAUACAUACAUACAUACAUACAUACACACAUACAUACACAGAGCGAGAGCAAGAGAGAGAGAGAGAGAGAGAGAGAGAGAGAGAGAGAGAGAUGCAGUUCAUCAAAAAACAUUUUUGCCCACACUGUUGUGGGCUGAGCAAAACAAGUCUCUGAGCCAGACGUGGCCUGUGGCUGCACUUUGGGUCUUGUACUUUAAACUAUUUUUCUUAGGUGUGUGUUGAGAUCCUGAUAAGCUAAAUAGCAUUGCACUAGAUUCUUUUUUAAAUGUUGAGCAAUAUUCCAGGAAAUUCCUAAUGUCCUAUAUUUUGUUUAGGUAAGCUUUAAACUUUUGCUUAAAUUUGAAAAAAAAUUACUUUAUUGGGUUGAAAAUAAACAUGCUAUUGAAGCAUGGGAAGGAUUGUAAAGGAGGGGAUUAUUGAUUUGAUUUCUUUAUUUUUACUGACUUAUUACCACAAACUUUGUUUUCAGUGUUUCUUACAGAA